Molecule: ribosomal RNA, 1521 nt
Filed under: uncultured bacterium
Lineage: Bacteria
Description: bacterial SSU rRNA
Rfam family: Bacterial small subunit ribosomal RNA
Source: RNAcentral
AGAGUUUGAUCAUGGCUCAGAACGAACGCUGGCGGCGUGGAUUAGGCAUGCAAGUCGUACGAGAAAAGAGUCUUCGGACUCCUAGUACAGUGGCGAACGGGUGAGUAACGCGUGGGAAACCUGCCCUUGAGAUGGGGAUAACUUCUCUAACGAGGAGCUAAUACCGAAUGACAUUCUCGACUCGCAUGGGUUGAGAAUCAAAGGUGGCCUCUACUUGUAAGCUACCACUCAUGGAUGGUCCCGCGUCCCAUUAGCUUGUUGGUAGGGUAAUGGCCUACCAAGGCGACGAUGGGUAGCUGGUCUGAGAGGAUGGUCAGCCACACUGGGACUGAGAUACGGCCCAGACUCCUACGGGAGGCAGCAGUCGAGAGGCUUUGGCAAUGGGGGAAACCCUGACCAAGCGACGCCGCGUGGGCGACGAAGGCCUUCGGGUUGUAAAGCCCUGUCAUGUAGGAAGAAAAAUCAUCCGGCUAAUACCCUGGUGAUUUGACGGUACUGCAAGAGGAAGCUCCGGCUAACUCCGUGCCAGCAGCCGCGGUAACACGGGGGGAGCAAGCGUUGUUCGGAAUUACUGGGCGUAAAGGGCGCGUAGGCGGCUUGGUAAGUGGGACGUGAAAUGCUCCGGCUCAACCGGGGACCUGCGUUCCAAACUGCCAAGCUUGAGUACAGGAGAGGGGAGUGGAAUUCCGGGUGUAGCGGUGAAAUGCGUAGAUAUCCGGAGGAACACCAGUGGCGAAGGCGACUCCCUGGCCUGAUACUGACGCUGAGGCGCGAAAGCUAGGGGAGCAAACAGGAUUAGAUACCCUGGUAGUCCUAGCCGUAAACGAUGGGCACUAGGUGUAGGAGGUAUUGACCCCUCUUGUGCCGCAGCUAACGCAUUAAGUGCCCCGCCUGGGGAGUACGACCGCAAGGUUGAAACUCAAAGGAAUUGACGGGGGCCCGCACAAGCGGUGGAGCAUGUGGUUUAAUUCGACGCAACGCGAAGAACCUUACCGGGGCUUGACAUGCUUAGGACAGGCGUGGAAACACGUUUUUCCUUCGGGACCUUUGCACAGGUGCUGCAUGGCUGUCGUCAGCUCGUGUCGUGAGAUGUUGGGUUAAGUCCCGCAACGAGCGCAACCCUUGUCCUUAGUUGCUAGCGGGUUAUGCCGAGAACUAUAAGGAGACUGCCGGUGGUAAGCCGGAGGAAGGUGGGGAUGACGUCAAGUCCUCAUGGCCCUUACGUCCCGGGCUACACACGUGCUACAAUGGCCGAUACAGAGGGUCGCAAUACCGCGAGGUGGAGCUAAUCCCAAAAAAUCGGUCUCAGUUCGGAUUGUAGUCUGCAACUCGACUGCAUGAAGGUGGAAUCGCUAGUAAUCGCGAAUCAGCAGGUCGCGGUGAAUACGUUCCCGGGCCUUGUACACACCGCCCGUCAAGCCACGAAAGUCGGCAGUACCCGAAGUCGCUGCCCCAACCCGCAAGGGAGGGAGGCGCCGAAGGUAAGGUUGGCGAUUGGGGCUAAGUCGUAACAAGGUAACC